CCCGUGACCAUCGAGUUUUUGAACGCAAGUUGCGCCCAAAGCCUUCGGGUCGAGGGCACGUCUGCCUGGGUGUCACGCA
This 79-nucleotide ribosomal RNA is filed under the name Emblica urinaria. Its description in RNAcentral is "Phyllanthus urinaria partial 5.8S ribosomal RNA". The record is from RNAcentral. Lineage: Eukaryota; Viridiplantae; Streptophyta; Magnoliopsida; Malpighiales; Phyllanthaceae.